This 497-nucleotide ribosomal RNA is filed under the name uncultured bacterium. RNAcentral describes it as "partial 16S ribosomal RNA". It matches the Rfam family "Bacterial small subunit ribosomal RNA", at positions 28 to 507 of the family's 1533-position model. The record is from RNAcentral.
GAUGAACGCUGGCGGCGUGCCUAAUACAUGCAAGUCGAGCGAACGGACGAGAAGCUUGCUUCUCUGAUGUUAGCGGCGGACGGGUGAGUAACACGUGGAUAACCUACCUAUAAGACUGGGAUAACUUCGGGAAACCGGAGCUAAUACCGGAUAAUAUUUUGAACCGCAUGGUUCAAAAGUGAAAGACGGUCUUGCUGUCACUUAUAGAUGGAUCCGCGCUGCAUUAGCUAGUUGGUAAGGUAACGGCUUACCAAGGCAACGAUGCAUAGCCGACCUGAGAGGGGGGUCGGCCACACUGGAACUGAGACACGGUCCAGAGUACGACGGGAGGAAGCAGUAGGGAAGCUUCAGCAAUGGGCGAAAGCCUGACGGAGCAAUGCUGCGGGAGUGAGGAAGGUCUUAGGAGCGUAAAACUCUGUUAUGAGGGAAGAACAAAUGUGUAAGGAAAGAUGCAUGUCGGGACGGGAAAUAAUCAGAAAGAAAAGGCGAAAGACGUG